Molecule: ribosomal RNA, 254 nt
Filed under: uncultured prokaryote
Description: partial 16S ribosomal RNA
Rfam family: Bacterial small subunit ribosomal RNA
Source: RNAcentral
GACGUAGGGAGCGAGCGUUGUCCGGAUUUAUUGGGCGUAAAGGGCCAGUAGGCGGCUUGGCAAGUCAGGUGUGAAACCUCCAGGCUCAACCUGGAGACGCCACUUGAUACUGCCAUGGCUAGAGUCCGGUAGGGGAGCAUGGAAUAUCCAGUGUAGCGGUGAAAUGCGCAGAUAUUGGGUGGAACACCAGUGGCGAAGGCGGUGCUCUGGGCCGGAACUGACGCUGAAUGGCGAAAGCGUGGGUAGCAAACAGG